This 915-nucleotide ribosomal RNA is filed under the name Triticum aestivum (bread wheat). Its description in RNAcentral is "partial small subunit ribosomal RNA". The record is from RNAcentral. Lineage: Eukaryota; Viridiplantae; Streptophyta; Magnoliopsida; Poales; Poaceae.
AUGCAGAUACCCCACCAGUCAGCCUCUCUCUCCUCUCUCUCUCCUCCUUUUUCUGCUAGCCCAUCACUUGCAUGCAAAAAAGAAUCGAUCUCCUCUCUCUCUCUCCGCACGAAGCCGCGCUGCGCCGCGCUCGCCUCCACGCCUCCUCGCCGCCGUCUCGUUGCUGGCCGCCGCGCUCCCUCGCCCUGGCCUCCAUGCCAAGCUCCGGCCGCGGCGGUGGCGGCCGGCUGCACGUGCGUGUGUCUUGAGCAGGUAGGUCUUGAGCGCCUGGAAAUCCAUGGGCUUGGGGUCGAAGAGGACGAAAUCCGACUGCACCGUCUCCAUUUGCAAGCGCCACCACGAGGAGCAAAUCAUCAAAAAAAUUCCGAUGAAAGAGUAAAUCAACAAGAGGAGGAACAGAUUAGGCACCUCCCAGGACGCUGCCGCUGCUCGAGCACUCCGGAGAGCUGUCACUGCCGAGAGCUCCUCGUUGGCGUCGCUGGUGCGGCGCUUCUCCUCGCCGUGGGUGGAGGGCGGGCAUCACGUUGUCGCCCGGAGAAAGCCCACUCGUCCUCUCCCAGCACAGGAGGCGGUCUUGGUCUUGUGCGUCGGCGUCGGCGUCGUCCUUGUGCCGCGGAAGUGCCCUGGACGACGAGCUAUGGCUUGCCCUUGGCUGUGUACCACCGACGCCGAGCUUGGCCACGGCCAGAUCGAAGCCGUGGUUCUGGAGGGCGGAGGGCAGCGACGGAGCACGGAGAUGGGUGGGGAAUUGGGAGAGGAGAAAACAAAGCGGGCUUGGGCUGGUCUCCGGCGAAGGGGAUGGAGCCACGCUGCUGUCCGGGGCGGCGAGUAGCAGGAGGGCCGAGGGCGGAAGCGGCGAGCAGCAGGCGAGCGAUGCCGAGGGAGAGGCGAAGGCGUGCGGUGACGAGUGGAUAA